This 400-nucleotide ribosomal RNA is filed under the name uncultured bacterium. RNAcentral's name for it is "bacterial SSU rRNA". It matches the Rfam family "Bacterial small subunit ribosomal RNA", at positions 355 to 772 of the family's 1533-position model. The record is from RNAcentral.
UGGGGAAUAUUGGGCAAUGGACGAAAGUCUGACCCAGCAACGCCGCGUGGAGGAUGAAGCAUUUCGGUGUGUAAACUCCUUUUAACUAAGAAGAUAAUGACGGUAUUAGUUGAAUAAGCACCGGCUAACUCCGUGCCAGCAGCCGCGGUAAUACGGAGGGUGCAAGCGUUACUCGGAAUCACUGGGCGUAAAGGGUGUGUAGGCUGUUUUGUAAGUCUUAUGUGAAAUUUAUCAGCUUAACUGAUAGACUGCAUAGGAAACUGCAUAACUAGAGUGUGAGAGAGGCAGGUGGAAUUUCUAGUGUAGGGGUAAAAUCCGUAGAUAUUAGAAGGAAUAUCAAUGGCGAAGGCGACCUGCUGGAUCAUAACUGACGCUGAGGCACGAAAGCGUGGGGAGCAAA